This is a long non-coding RNA of Mya arenaria, 1325 nucleotides long. RefSeq lists it as uncharacterized. The record is from RefSeq and is a predicted model, not a curated record. NCBI's taxonomy places the organism in Eukaryota, Metazoa, Mollusca, Bivalvia, Myida, Myidae. The transcript is spliced from 3 exons.
AAUACUUUGUCAAAUUAUGUACGCUAUAAACAAACUAAUAGAUUGGUAAUCUAUACGACUAAAAUGAGUGAAGAAUGUAAACGCUCUUUAUUGAAAAUAGAUACCGUUUCUGAUUACCCGUCUCAAAGAUUUGGUAAUUCAUGUUAAAACUUACUGUGCCGUAUACUGACAUGGAUUUUAAAUAUUUAAUUUGUUUGUUUUUCACAAUUUGCACAGUGUCAGAGGUUCUGCCUUUGGAAUGUUACCAAUGCGCUUCGGUAACCACGUCAAAUUGUGGGAUCCUUUCAUAUCAGAAGGCGUAACCACUACGAAUUGCGUCGGGGUGUGCACGAAAAUAAUAAUCGACGAAAACAUAGCUUUCGAUGACGGAGAUAUAGUGAGAGAUUGCCUCACAAGCGACUACAGAUAUAGCGGAGAUAAAUGCGAACAGGCUUCCGCGCUUGGCUACGAAGGCAAAGUCUGCUUGUGCAAUUCCGAUCAUUGCAAUGGUGUCGGCUCGACAUCAGCUUCUUGGAGUAGUAUUGUUCUAACAGCCAUUUUGUUCUCCAAUCACAUUGUAUCUUGGAUGUAAAGAUUAGUGAGAAAGACAACACAAUUACAAACUUUUAGUAGUGCUCUACUGUGAAAAUCAUAACAAAACAUUAUACUCUUGGCAAGUUUUGUGACUUGUUACAGAACUGAAAUUUGUGGGUUUUCAAUUUUGAUUUUCGUAAUUUAUUGUAUUUGCUGUUUUAGUCAACGACCACAACAGUCGCGUAUGUGUGCCGCCAUGUUGGAGUAUCCAAAAUAAUGACGUCACAGUGUAAAAUACCCUUUCACGUGACAAAAUUAUACUAAAAAAAGGUAUUAAGCGAAUGUCGAAAGAAGGCGUGAAGUUUACUACGAUAUUUAUCGACAUUACCCGAUAUUUACCGGUUCAUUAGGGUCCGUAAUCCUAAAGUCAAUACUAAGACUUACAUAGCGCGGUGAAAUUAAGCUCUUGAAAGCUGUAUUCAUUAUUCAAAAAUCAUUAUCAAUAUGAGUAAUUUGUAGGCAAUUACAAGAACGGAUUAGUCGGAUUUAAAUCUAUUCGAAAAUCAUUGAAAGCGUUUAAGGUCAGUCAUUUGGUAAAUUUCCGUUCAUAGAAUAUCAACAGAAUACGAAUGCAAUACGAAAGCUGACACCUUGAUAAUGUUAUAGUUAACAUAAUGUCAUUAACUGAUAAAGCAUUAUCACGUACGUCUUAUAUCUUUACCACUGCUGUCUUAUAUGCCGUACUAAGUGGCUCAAAAGUGUACUUUCAACAGCAUUAAGACCUAAUAUUAAUAAUAUAUAUAUAUACGUCA